CGGACGGGUGAGUAAUGUCUGGGAAACUGCCCGAUGGAGGGGGAUAACUACUGGAAACGGUAGCUAUACCGCAUAACGUCGCAAGACCAAAGAGGGGGACCUUCGGGCCUCUUGCCAUCGGAUGUGCCCAGAUGGGAUUAGCUAGUAGGUGGGGUAACGGCUCACCUAGGCGACGAUCCCUAGCUGGUCUGAGAGGAUGACCAGCCACACUGGAACUGAGACACGGUCCAG
This 231-nucleotide ribosomal RNA is filed under the name uncultured bacterium. RNAcentral describes it as "partial 16S ribosomal RNA". It matches the Rfam family "Bacterial small subunit ribosomal RNA", at positions 99 to 334 of the family's 1533-position model. The record is from RNAcentral.